Molecule: ribosomal RNA, 395 nt
Filed under: uncultured bacterium
Lineage: Bacteria
Description: partial 16S ribosomal RNA
Rfam family: Bacterial small subunit ribosomal RNA
Source: RNAcentral
AUACGUAGGGUGCAAGCGUUAAUCGGAAUUACUGGGCGUAAAGCGUGCGCAGGCGGUUUUGUAAGACAGUGGUGAAAUCCCCGGGCUCAACCUGGGAACUGCCCUUGUGACUGCAAGGCUGGAGUGCGGCAGAGGGGGAUGGAAUUCCGCGUGUAGCAGUGAAAUGCGUAGAUAUGCGGAGGAACACCGAUGGCGAAGGCAAUCCCCUGGGCCUGCACUGACGCUCAUGCACGAAAGCGUGGGGAGCAAACAGGAUUAGAUACCCUGGUAGUCCACGCCCUAAACGAUGUCAACUGGUUGUUGGGGAUUUAUUUUCUCAGUAACGAAGCUAACGCGUGAAGUUGACCGCCUGGGGAGUACGGCCGCAAGGUUAAAACUCAAAUGAAUUGGCGGGG